Molecule: long non-coding RNA, 553 nt
Organism: Rhododendron vialii
Lineage: Eukaryota; Viridiplantae; Streptophyta; Magnoliopsida; Ericales; Ericaceae
Exons: 2
Source: RefSeq, a predicted model, not a curated record
UUUGUUAAUGUACUGCCCUUCAAGAUAGACGGUACGGAUAUUCGGUGUGACGCCUUCGUUGGAGGAUAUAAGGGUAAUUGUGUGAAGGGUGCACGUGUGAGUGUGGUGUGAGAAGCGGGGGAUUGCUCCCCACUUCUAUAAUUUCCCCAGGAGAAUCAUUUCUCCCAUUUCCUCCCUUUCUCACUCUCUCGGCAGUCUCUCUCUCCUCUUCUCCUCCGAAAACUCUCUCCUCGAUUUCAUCUACUUAGAACGUGAUUCCGAACAAAGUUCAAGAAUUAAAAUUGUUAUACGGCGCAUGGGCUUUCCGAAUAUCCAAGAAAAAUCAUGAUCGGACCACGUGGGAGCUUGGUUGACUUGGUCAAAGGUUCGGGUUUUGCUCAAAAUCCAUGAGGUACAACACAGGGGUAGUGAUAUGAAGUGCAUGGAGUGCAUCUUUGCAUUAAAAGGGGUUUUCUGGCGCUACCUAUAUAUUUGUAAAUCAAAUUGUAUUGUAAUGUACUGGGAUGUCUUAAUUUGAAACAUUAUAUUUGUGGACAAAACUGAGGAUUUGGGA